AGCUCGAUGAUUAUUUUUGCCUUUAGGCAGUAUACGCUAUUCCGAUAAUUAGAAUGAGCGAUUAAGCUUUUCGGAAUGAGAGCU
Molecule: small nucleolar RNA, 84 nt
Organism: Ipomoea triloba (trilobed morning glory)
Lineage: Eukaryota; Viridiplantae; Streptophyta; Magnoliopsida; Solanales; Convolvulaceae
Product: small nucleolar RNA U54
Exons: 1
Source: RefSeq, a predicted model, not a curated record